This 403-nucleotide unclassified non-coding RNA is filed under the name soil metagenome. Its description in RNAcentral is "partial contains 5.8S ribosomal RNA, internal transcribed spacer 2, and large subunit ribosomal RNA". The stretch from base 1 to 120 matches the Rfam family "5.8S ribosomal RNA", at positions 35 to 154 of the family's 154-position model. The record is from RNAcentral.
GAUGAAGAACGUAGUGAAAUGCGAUAAGUAAUGUGAAUUGCAGAAUUCAGUGAAUCAUCGAAUCUUUGAACGCACCUUGCGCCCUUUGGACUUCUGAAAGGCAUGCCUGUUUGAGUAUCAUGAACACCUCAACUCCUUAUGGUCUUCCAUGAUGAGCUUGGACUUUGGGGGUUUUGCUGGCCUACAGUCAGCUCCUCUAAAAUAAAUCAGCUUACCGGUGUUUGGUGGGUAUCAUGGGUGUGAUAACUAUCUACGCUCGUGGUUUUCCACCAGGUAACCUUCAGCAGUGGAGGUUCACUGGAGCUCAUAGAUGUCUCUCCUCAGCGAGGACAGCCCUUUGAAUGUUUGAUCUCAAAUCAGGUAGGACUACCCGCUGAACUUAAGCAUAUCAAUAAGCGGAGGA